UUAUAUUACUUUCUUAAUCUUUCUAAUUCUAUUCUCAUAAGAUGAUCUUGGAUUUGUUCCUUUAGCACAGACUCUUUAGUGCAGUCCUGAUUUCUGUAUUAAUGAAUUGAGAAGAUGACAUCAGGCUCUUAGCACUGCAGAGUUUUCCCUGCCAGCCUGGCUGAUCUGCAGCACAAGAAGCUCUCUGUGAUGGUAAUUGACAGUGAUCUUUGUCAGCCCCACACAGGAUCAGGCAUUAAGAGAACAACCCUUGCUGGAUUGCAGAUGCAUAGGUGGUGCUCCAGAUGAAUAUUGUACUACUGGUGCAUAACCUGAAAGCAAAUAUGGAAACGAGUGCUCUUCCAAAGACACUUCACAAAAUCAGAGAGUAUGGUGAACUGGAAGAGACCAACAAGGAUCAUCAAGUCCACUUCUUGGCCCUGCACAGUACGUCCCCAAAGUCACACCAUGUACCUGAGAGCGUUGUCAAAAUGCUUCUUCAGCUCUCUCAGGCUGGUGCUGUGACCACUUCCCAGGGGAGUCCGCGCCAAAGUCCAAGCACUCCCUGGGUGAAGAACCUUCUUUUUAACAUCCAACCUAAACCUUCCUGACACAACUUCAGGCCACGCCUUCAAGUUCUCUCACUGGUCACCACAGGGAAGAGAUCAGUGUCUGCCCCUCCUCUUCCCCUCAUGAGGGAGCUGAAACUGCCAUGAGGGCGCCCCCAGGCUGAACAGGCCAAGUGAUCUCAGCCUCUCCUCACACGGCUUCCCCUCAAGGCCCUUCACCCUUUUUCUGCUCUCCUUUGGAUGUUCCCUAAUAGUUUAAUAUCUUUCUUAUGUUGUGAAAACCAUAGCUUAAUGUAAUAUAGAAAUGAGAGUAGUUAUUUCAGAUUCUUUCAAGAAAAAAUGCUGGGGAUUUUAAGAGGCAAAAGACAGCAGUUUUCAUGUUUACUUUUUUUUUUUUCUAGAGGACUUUUGUCACAACUUACUGUCAUUUUCAAGUUAUGUCACAUUUUGAGGUUUAAAAGUAACAAAAUUACCCUUUGUGAUGGCUUGACAUGAGAAGUCUGAAGCCGGAGAUGAUAUUUAAAUUUUUUUUUCAUGUUGAUUAGUUAUGCAUGUUGUUAUGAAUUCUUCUGUGGAUUGAUUCAAACUGUCUUGAACAUUCACCAACAUACUGAUCAUUAUGUAGGUAACUAGAAAUUAGUUUGUGUGUUAGAAUGGCCAUUUUUGGCUUAUAAACAUUUGAAACACUCCAUGUUUUGUUUUCUUCCUGAGUUCUUCGGCUCCAUAUUGCUCUUCUAUAAUCUUCCUUAAAUCACUGGUGUCAAUGUUGAGGAAGGCUGGAGAGAGAGAAGAAGAAAAAUAUGAAAUGUAAAUAUCAAUUCAGUUGAAGUGAUGUAUCAGACGUAUAUUGAGAUAGUUCCAGAAAUGAAUAUAUUACAUUUAUUUUAAUUCCGUUUCUUAUUUGGACUCACAGAUUUGGAGUGUAGUGGACUUUAAUCCCCAGUGCAUAGGUGGGAAUUCAACCUAAGUGUGAGGACUUUGUCUAGGAAGAUGUGUCUACUCUUAAUGGGCUUGUGUAAUGUGCUUUGGAAGAUCUCUGUUGGACUGAUAUGGGGACAUGGCAGCAGACAUUGAAACUUGAACUCUUGUUGCACCAAGCAAUGAUGAGGGCAUCUGUGAGACUCCCUCUGCAGUAACUCCCCAUACCUCAAAAACUGAGGAUCUUCACACAGACACUGAUAGUUUUAUUCCUUAUUUCUGUAUUUUAGACCUUGUCAACAGAGAACUUUAGUUAAUUCUGAAUGAGACAAAAGCUGCAGAAAACCAAAAGAUCCUCUACAUAAACUCCUAGAGGCAUAAACGUUAUUUAUAACAUGUCAUUCUUAUUUAACUGAGGGAAAUAAGUGCUAAUAAAUGCCCAAAAAAAAAAAGAGAUUAGAAAUGCAUUUAGCACAGUCAGGGAUGAUACUUAUUCAUCAGAAAUACCUAUUAAUUUUUUUUCUAUUUAUUUUCCUUCAUUUUUCAUUGACAUAGUUUCUUAAGAUGCUUUUGAUAUUGAUAGCUCAGGGAGGAGAAAAUGCAUGCAUUAAAGACUCAGAAGUGUUUCUGCAUUUUGAAUUUGCUAGAGAUUUUAUUAAAUAGCACCAUAGCUCAGGACAAGCUGAUGGCAUUUCACAGUCUAUUUCCCCAUAUUCCCUAAAUGCUGAUUUACCAAGAAUGAAAUGAGUGUACACAUACUCUGGAGCAUGUGUUAAAGCUGUACUAAACAUUUUCCAUGUAACUUCCAGCUGGCAACAUUUUGCCAGAAAGCCUGGUACUUAGAAAUGAUAAAUAAAUAAAACAAACAGAAUCAUGUGUUGUAAUAAGGAGACAAUGGAACAGCUGCAGAGCAUGGAGUAAAUUCAGUUUGACUUGAUGUGGACACAGUGGCUGAAUUUUACCCAUGAGAUAUUAGCAACAUUCAGAUUCUUAAGGGGAAGAUUAUGAAGAGAGAAGAAGAUCUCAUUGGGAGGUCUCUUAGCACAUUUGGAAAAAUAAACAGAGAAACUAUGAAAAAUAAUAUUUAAGCAGGAAAAUCAGCAUAAGCUGUUCUCCUGCAGUAUGUUGAAGAAAGAUGAACUUGUCUUGGGAAGAAAAAAAAGUGAACAGAGCUCUGUUUUUUUUUUUUUUUUUUGCUUGAAGAGAUAAAAGGAAGAAGAUGGAGGGGGGAUGUAACUUAGGAAGGUGAACAACAGCCACCAAGUGAAGAAAUGAGAAAUAAUGAUGAUAAGGAAAGCAAAAGCAAAGAUGGUGUAUCAAGGGUGCUUCUAAAGGGUGCUACUAAUUAAAGAAGACACCCCUAAGCUUUUUGAAUUAUAUUUGCAAAGGCAAAAGUAUCAUAUAACACAUAUGCUUCUGUCAUAAACAGCAUUUUCAGUUCUAGCAAAUUUUGAGAGCAGUUCCUCAGCACCAGUAAUAUCUAGUUAUUGUAGUUUUGCAACAGCAAAACUAUAGUAUGUGAGACAUUUAUGUCACUUUUCCUUAACUUUUUGUGGAUGACCCAUCUUCUACUUGUAUUAAUGCACACUGAUUGCUCUUUGCUGGACAUGGUAUAGUAAUAGCUCACUGAGACUUGUAUUAUUGGUGUUGUCUUGUUAUUGAAAGUAAAAUCCUGGGGGUUUUCUCAUACCAGGUAGUUCUAUAAAAUAAGGAUGAACACCCUGACUUUUAUUUAUGCUUUAGGCAUCCACAUUCGGAAACAAUGACCCAUGUAAGGUUUCCACUUUCAGUGGUGAAACUGGAAAAUGGGAUCAAACUUAAUAACUAUGCAUCAAGUAGAUAAAUCACAUUCCUGUAUGUUGAUCUCCUGUUAUUCAACCAGUAGGCAGAACUUUCUGAGCUGGAAAUGGCAGUAGUUUAAGAGAAAGUAAAAUGGGGUCACAUUAAUCGUAGCCUCUGACGUUUUCACUCAAAUGCAUGAAGGAGGCUAAGCAAGAAUUUCUGACAUAACCAUCACCUGGACUUUGGCUUGACUGGGUUGUCAUGAUCAAAUGACUUCUUUUGCCUGGUAUGUGCUCUUCUGCUUUUUACAUCCUUGAUAUCCCAGUUUCUACAUGUGCACAUGCUGACAUCCUCCAGGACACCACAAGGCACAGUGAUAAUUGCACUGCUGAAGCUACCUGCUGUGUUAAAGGUCAGCAGAAGGGCCUCAGCGGUGAAGUGGCACUUGCCUAUCAAAAUGCAAAAUGCCGGGGUGAAAGAAGUAAAACUCAGCUAUUAUACGUUACAAAACUCGAGACAUUCAAAGUCAAGUAUAUCAUUCUCAUGUUCCAAUACCCAGAGAAGAAUGUCACAGCAUGACUCCAUCCUCGUGAUGGAGACUGAAAGAAGAAUGAAAAAUAAUGCAAAGUUAUCUCCUUUUUGUUAAAUCUAUUGUAAUCUUGUGUUCUUCCUCUGUUACUGCACUGAAAUAAAGACAUUUUAAUCCCAGGGUACAAUUGAGAAAAGCCCUGAUCUAAUAAUUGUAAAACCUUCCGAUCCGAUAUUUUAGAACUCAGAGUACUUGUCACUUAUGAAUAUUCAUACAGAACAUUAAAAGAAUUAUAUUCUGUCUGCAGUUAAGGCAGGAAAAGAACAUGGUAAAUUCUAAAGAGACAGCAGUAUUUUAUGGAACACUUGUCAACUAUUAAGGGCUUCCACAACAAAAUUCUUGCAGGAAAAUUGUUUAGGAGAACAGUAUGGAACAGUGAUAACAUCAUUAUAGAACAGAUCUCUUAGAGGCAAAAAACCCAAAUGCAGGAAUUCAUCUCAAGUAUUACAUAUAUUGGAAUUCUUCAAGGUAACCUCUUAAUGUGCAUGUUCAUGAAGGGGUGUCCAUGCUGCUCAGCUGAGACAUUGAAUGCAAAAGGCUGAUACAAACUU
Molecule: long non-coding RNA, 4388 nt
Organism: Zonotrichia albicollis (white-throated sparrow)
Lineage: Eukaryota; Metazoa; Chordata; Aves; Passeriformes; Passerellidae
Source: RefSeq, a predicted model, not a curated record